GAUGAACGCUGGCGGCGUGCCUAAUACAUGCAAGUCGAGCGAACGGACGAGAAGCUUGCUUCUCUGAUGUUAGCGGCGGACGGGUGAGUAACACGUGGUUAACCUACCUAUAAGACUGGGAUAACUUCGGGAAACCGGAGCUAAUACCGGAUAAUAUUUUGAACCGCAUGGUUCAAAAGUAAAAGACGGUCUUGCUGUCACUUAUAGAUGGAUCCGCGCUGCAUUAGCUAGUUGGUAAGGUAACGGCUUACCAAGGCAACGAUGCAUAGCCGACCUGAGAGGGUGAUCGGCAACACUGGAACUGAGACACGGUACAGACUCCUACGGGAGGCAGCAGUAGGGAAUCUUCCGCAAUGGGCGAAAGCCUGACGGAGCAACGCCGCGUGAGUGAUGAAGGUCUUCGGAUCGUAAAACUCUGUUAUUAGGGAAGAACAUAUGUGUAAGUAACUGUGCACAUCUUGACGGUACCUAAUCAGAAAGCCACGGCUAACUACGUG
Molecule: ribosomal RNA, 497 nt
Filed under: uncultured bacterium
Lineage: Bacteria
Description: partial 16S ribosomal RNA
Rfam family: Bacterial small subunit ribosomal RNA
Source: RNAcentral